GACGAACGCUGGCGGCGUGCUUAACACAUGCAAGUCGAACGGAAAGGCCCUGCUUUUGUGGGGUGCUCGAGUGGCGAACGGGUGAGUAACACGUGAGUAACCUGCCCUUGACUUUGGGAUAACUUCAGGAAACUGGGGCUCAUACCGGAUAGGAGCUCCUGCUGCAUGGUGGGGGUUGGAAAGUUUCGGCGGUUGGGGAUGGACUCGCGGCUUAUCAGCUUGUUGGUUGGGUAGUGGCUUACCAAGGCUUUGACGGGUAGCCGGCCUGAGAGGGUGGCCGGGCACAUUGGGACUGAGAUACGGCCCAGACUCCUACGGGAGGCAGCAGUGGGGAAUAUUGCACAAUGGGCGGAAGCCUGAUGCAGCAACGCCGCGUGCGGGAUGACGGCCUUCGGGUUGUAAACCGCUUUCGCCUGUGACGAAGCGUGAGUGACGGUAAUGGGUAAAGAAGCACCGGCUAACUACGUG
This 468-nucleotide ribosomal RNA is filed under the name uncultured bacterium. Its description in RNAcentral is "partial 16S ribosomal RNA". It matches the Rfam family "Bacterial small subunit ribosomal RNA", at positions 28 to 507 of the family's 1533-position model. The record is from RNAcentral.